GAGGAAUCUUGCGCAAUGGGGGAAACCCUGACGCAGCAACGCCGCGUGAGUGAGGAAGGUCUUCGGAUCGUAAAGCUCUGUCAGAUGGGAAGAAAUGUAUGGGGGUGAACAGCUCUCAUGCUUGACGGUACCGUCAGAGGAAGCACCGGCUAACUCCGUGCCAGCAGCCGCGGUAAUACGGGGGGUGCAAGCGUUGUUCGGAAUCAUUGGGCGUAAAGGGCGUGCAGGCGGCUGGAUAAGUCAGAUGUGAAAGCCCUGGGCUUAACCCAGGAAGCGCAUUUGAAACUGUUCGGCUUGAGUAAGGGAGAGGAAAGUGGAAUUCCUGGUGUAGAGGUGAAAUUCGUAGAUAUCAGGAGGAACACCGGUGGCGAAGGCGACUUUCUGGCCCUAUACUGACGCUGAGACGCGAAAGCGUGGGGAGCAAACAG
This 428-nucleotide ribosomal RNA is filed under the name uncultured bacterium. RNAcentral describes it as "bacterial SSU rRNA". It matches the Rfam family "Bacterial small subunit ribosomal RNA", at positions 356 to 775 of the family's 1533-position model. The record is from RNAcentral.